This 497-nucleotide ribosomal RNA is filed under the name uncultured bacterium. Its description in RNAcentral is "partial 16S ribosomal RNA". It matches the Rfam family "Bacterial small subunit ribosomal RNA", at positions 28 to 507 of the family's 1533-position model. The record is from RNAcentral.
GAUGAACGCUGGCGGCGUGCCUAAUACAUGCAAGUCGAGCGAACAGACGAGGAGCUUGCUCCUCUGACGUUAGCGGCGGACGGGUGAGUAACACGUGGAUAACCUACCUAUAAGACUGGGAUAACUUCGGGAAACCGGAGCUAAUACCGGAUAAUAUAUUGAACCGCAUGGUUCAAUAGCGAAAGACGGUUUUGCUGUCACUUAUAGAUGGAUCCGCGCCGCAUUAGCUAGUUGGUAAGGUAACGGAUUACCAAGGCAACGAUGCGUAGCCGACCUGAGAGGGUGAUCGGCCACACUGGAACUGAGACACGGUCCAGACUCCUACGGGAGGCAGCAGUAGGGAAUCUUCCGCAAUGGGCGAAAGCUUGACGGAGCAACGCCGCGUGAGUGAUGAAGGUCUUCGGAUCGUAAAACUCUGUUAUUAGGGAAGAACAAAUGUGUAAGUAACUAUGCACGUCUUGACGGUACCUAAUCAGAAAGCCACGGCUAACUACGUG